This 1702-nucleotide long non-coding RNA is filed under the name Anas platyrhynchos platyrhynchos (common mallard). RNAcentral's name for it is "lncRNA (ENSAPLG00000026668.1)". The record is from RNAcentral. Lineage: Eukaryota; Metazoa; Chordata; Aves; Anseriformes; Anatidae.
GAAAACCAAGUUAAAUAUUGGUUGCAGGACCUGAUUUUUUACUCUUUCUUCCUACCCUGGUAAAACUAGAGUUACAGUGGCCAAGAGGGCUAUUGUGGCUGAGUAAAUAACCUGGUUCAUGUAGUUUUGAUUACUGGGUUAUAGGAAUGGCAUACUGGCUCCUGCCCUGCAUCAGGUCUUUGACAGUAGACACAGUUAAUCAAAAACACGAGAAGCAGAGCAAGACAGAGUGUUCCUUCCUCUGCCAUUAACUUCCCAUUUCUGUCAUUCAGCACUCUGGGGACUUCCCACAUUGGAAGCUGUGCUCAGUUUAGAAGCCGCUGGUGAAAGGAAGCCAGAUCAGUGCUGGGAUCUAAGCAGCCCCCCACCUGGGCUUCAUUACACUUAAGUGCUUGCCUAACCUGCACAGCCAGGGGUGGAAACCACCCUGCCAGUUUGUAAGAUGACCUGGGGAAUCUAGAAAGGUCUGCUGUCUCAAAUCCAUCACCUGAUGUCAAAGUGGGAUUACAUCCCCUUGCUUACAGCACACCCACACCAGCUGUAGAUCUGCAGAGAAGCUGUGAAUGGGAGCUGAAAUUUGGAAGUGCAACCCCUGCACCCAGAAGGUACGUGGAUCUUCCUGACAGGCAGUGCAAGUUAACUUGGCAGCACUGUGACAGUCUGGCUUCUCUGGGUAUCCUGGUGGGGAGAUAUCUGCAUCACGGCUCUCUGACCAUCCACGCAACAAAGCUCCCCUCCACAGGAAACCAGAACGUACAAGAUGCAUGUUGCACAGCCAGCUGACACACACACAUCUGCAGGCAGGACAUGGUUGGGAUGCACAGCAUAAGUAAGAGGUGAGGCAAUCUUCCAUGUCCCUCAGCUUUGACACACAAAGUCAGGCUUGGACCACCAAGCACCGCCAAAGUAGGGAAGUCAGAUAAUGAAAACUUUGUGAAGGUAAACAGGACAAUUAAUUGAGGACAUAUCCUUAGAACUCUCUCUCAAAAUUCACACAAGAAGAAAAUGCCUGUGAUAAAUUUUUUGCCUUACACACUGGGUACCAUCCAUAUCACCUAGUACCAAUAUCCUCUCAAAGACUUGUGAAAACAUGGUAGAAUUGUUCUUAUCCACUGAGAGCAGGACACAAGGCCUGUCCCAACUGAUAUACAGCAUCAUUCCUGAGGUUGUCCUUACUUGAUUGAAGACUUGAAGCUCUGCAGUCUUAGCUAUAUGGUAACUUGCUUCCAGCACCACAUUUUCCCAUUGUAUUCUCCUUUUGUUGUAGAGAGGAGCAGAGGGGAUCCAGAGGAUCUCAUGCUGGGACUGUCUAGACUGGGUGCUCUCAGAUCAAUAUUCAGGGCAGCCCUUGAUAGCUCUGGGCUGCCCAUGUUCCUGUGAAGACAACAUACAUAUAUAAACCAGCUCAUACACACAGCUCAGUUUCCCUAGAGGGGAAUAAUCCUCCCUGCUUUUUUUUUUUUUUCCCCCCCUGGAAUGUCUUGAUAACGAGCUCUCCUAGCUUCCCAGCCCACUUCCCACUGCACAGGGCCCUAGCCCCACCCUUUCCCCCUUCUCCAAUCCUCUCACCUCCAUCCUCUCCAGUAAAACUUAGAUCACAAAAUCACAGAAUUUCUAGGUUGGAAGAGACCUCAAGAUCAUCGAGUCCAACCUCUGACCUAACGCUAACAGUCCCCAAUAAACCAUAUCCCUAAGCUCUACA